UCUGACGCCAGAGACUGAGCGCCGAUUUCUUCAGGCGCCCUGAUAGCAAAAGAAUAGUGAGUCAUGGAAAGGGCGGUGGGCUUGUGUCUCUCGUCAAGAGACGACGUGGCAGAAAUCGAAGCCUUUCCACGCCUCCUCGUGGAACAACUGGGACGAGCGCCAGACUUUUAGGGUCUUCGCUCUGAACGCGAUUCCAAUUUCUUGGAGCAGUUUCGAGAUCCCCCAGUUCUUGAAACUUCGGCGACUCUCUGAUAUUUUAUAAGCUAUAAUUGAGGCGCUUCAACUGCUAAUUUUUAUCCGACGGUUUGCAUAUCUGGAGACGCUUCCACAUCUGAAUUUCUCGUGCUUUCUUUGCAUAUUUAUAAUCAUCUCUCUCUGGAGAUGCAUGUUGCCUAAGAAAAAGGGAUGAUGAGAAGAGUUCGAAGGAAAGGAUGCGGUUUUUGGGGGAUUGGAUGGUUUGUGAUAUAGUCAACUUUGAACUGGGAAAAAGGGAAGCUCGGGUUUUGUCUGUUAGCAAAGGUCGCUUUUGGGAUAAUAGCAGAUAUGAUGAGCACACAACUUUUUAAUUUUAGAAAGCACUCCUGGCCUCCAGAUGAGUAUGUCAACAGGGCUACGUUGCAGCUGUUGGACUUUGAUGGUGGUGCUCCACCAGAACAGGCAUGGAGGAGGAGACUCAAUAGUCAUGCUAAUAUACUAAAAGAAUUUAGUGUGACAUUUAUGGAGGCAAUCAAGAUGAUGCAUCUUGGCAUUCGUUUGUGGUCUUAUGUUCGCAAAGAAGCUUCUCAAGGAAGGAAAGCACCUAUUGAUCCAUUCACACGAGAAAGAUAUAAGCCCUCAGCUUCUCUGGGAGUUCCCCUUGGAGGAAUGGGAAGUGGUAGCAUAUCAAGGGGUUUCAGAGGGGAGUUUAAGAAUUGGCAAAUUAUUCCUGGUUCAUGUGAAUGGUCACCUGUCAUGGCAAAUCAGUUCUCUAUUUUUAUAUCUCGAAAUGGAGGAAACAAAAAGUACUCAUCUGUCUUAGCCCCUGGUCAACAUGAGGGGAUUAAGAAAUCUGGUGAUCAGGGUAUAUCAUCAUGGGAUUGGAACUUGAGUGGUCAGCAUUCCACAUACCAUGCUUUAUUUCCUAGAGCAUGGACUAUCUAUGAUGGUGAACCUGAUCCAGAUCUCAAAAUUUCAUGCCGUCAAAUAUCACCAUUCAUACCUCAUAAUUAUCGGGAAAGCAGCCUUCCUGCAUCAGUGUUUGUUUACACUCUAGUGAAUUCUGGGAGAGAAAGAGCAAAAGUCAGCUUGCUCAUGACCUGGGGGAAUUCUAUUGGUGGAAUUUCUCAUCAAUCUGGAGGCCACAUCAAUGAGCCCUUUAUAGGAAGAGAUGGAGUCUCUGGUGUGCUUUUACAUCACAAGACUGCAAAUGAUAACCCGCAUGUUACUUUUGCUAUUGCUGCAUGUGAAACUCAAAAUGUCAGUGUGACUGUUCUUCCAAGUUUUGGGCUUUCUGGAGAAAGUUGUGUUACAGCUAGGCGCAUGUGGGGUACUAUGGUUCAGGAUGGAUGUUUUGAUUGGGAGAAUUUCAAUGCUGGUCCUUGUAUGCCAUCUUUGCCUGGAGAGACUCUUUGUGCAGCAGUUUCAGCUUCCACCUGGGUCGAACCUCAUGGAAAAUGCACUGUUGCAUUUGCUUUGGCAUGGUCAUCUCCUAAAGUGAAGUUUCAGAAGGGACGUACUUAUCUCAGGAGAUGCACAAAGUUUUAUGGAACUUCUGAAAGAUCAGCUGUCAAUUUGGUGCAUGAUGCAUUGACAAAGUAUAAGUGGUGGGAGGAGGAGAUUGAGAAAUGGCAGAGUCCCAUCCUGAAGGAUGAAAGGCUUCCAGAAUGGUACAAAUUCACUCUAUUUAAUGAACUGUACUUUCUGGUUGCUGGGGGAACAGUUUGGAUAGAUGGUGGUUCCAUUGCCGAAGAGAAUACCAAUCAGAACAAUUCCACAAUGAUAAUGAACAAGGAUGCAAGAAUUAUGUCCACAGAAAAUAGCAGCAUGGACCUGGUAGCUGAGGAUAGUGCUGCAUGUACUGGGAUGGAAAAUGCUGAUGCUAAUGGGGUUCCAAGAUCUUUAAUUUCGCAGGACAACUCUUAUGAUGUUGGGAAAUUUUUGUAUCUUGAGGGAGUAGAAUAUGUCAUGUGGUGUACAUAUGAUGUCCACUUCUAUGCCUCUUAUGCACUUCUGUGUCUCUUUCCCAAAAUUGAAUUGAGCAUUCAGCGAGAUUUCGCCAGGGCUGUCUUGUUUGAGGACAGAAGAAAAGUGAAGUUCCUAGCAAGCGGUACAUGGGGAAUCCGUAAAGUCAAGGGAGCUGUUCCUCAUGAUCUAGGAAUGCAUGAUCCUUGGCAUGAAAUGAAUGCUUAUAAUAUUCAUGACACUAGUAGAUGGAAGGACCUUAAUUCUAAAUUUGUCCUUCAAGUUUACAGGGAUUUCGCAGCAACUGGUGACAUGUCCUUUGGGAGGGAUGUCUGGCCAGCAGUUUGUGCUGCGAUGGAGUACAUGGAGCAGUUUGAUCGUGAUGGUGAUGGUCUUAUUGAGAACGAUGGGUUCCCAGAUCAAACAUAUGAUACUUGGACAACUCAUGGUGUCAGUGCUUACUGUGGGUGCCUCUGGCUAGCAUCUCUCCAAGCCACAGCAGCAAUGGCUUAUCAUCUUGGAGACACUACCUCUGCUGAAAAAUUCCAUAUUAAAUUUUUGAAAGCUAAACCUGUGUUUGAAGCAAAACUGUGGAAUGGAUCAUAUUUUAAUUAUGACAGUGGGAUGAGCAGAAACAGCCGAUCCAUACAGGCAGAUCAACUGGCAGGCCAAUGGUACACUGCUUCCUCGGGAUUGCCCUCGCUGUUUGAUGACACAAAAAUUAGAAGCACUCUUCAGAAGAUAUAUGAUUUCAAUGUGAUGAAGGUCAGAGGAGGGCGUAUAGGAGCAGUCAAUGGAAUGUAUCCUAAUGGAAGGGUCAAUGACUAUUGCAUGCAAUCACGUGAAAUAUGGACUGGGGUAACAUACAGUGUUGCAGCCACCAUGCUUCUUGCUGGAAUGGAGCAUCAGGCAUUUACUACUGCACAAGGCAUUUUUACGGCAGGUUGGUCAGAAGAAGGAUUCGGGUGUAAAGUAGGCCAUCCAUGGCAUGGAGAUUUUGUUUGUAUUUGUGAAAAUUAUAGAGACAGAUCACUCUUCUUCCUUUCAUCUGGACUCUAAUCAAUUACAAGGAGUCCAGACUGAAGUUCACAACCAAGCCCAAAGGAAGGGGUUAAAAAAAAGGAACACUUGCAGUCCAGCUGCCAAGCCUUCCCAUAGGUUUCUGUCUUCCUUUAGGUACGGGUUCCAGACCCCAGAAGCAUGGACAGUUGAUGGACACUACCGAUCCCUUGUGUACAUGCGUCCACUGGCUAUUUGGGCCAUGCAAUGGGCCUUGUCACCACCGAAAGCAAUUCUUGAGUCUCCUAAAUUUAGUACAGACAGAAUCUACACAUCCCCGCUUUAUGCAAGAACGCUAGAUGAUGACGGUUUGAGGAAGAGGACAUCUAAAAGCAGGUGUUUUCCUAGAACUGUUUUUCACUGUGCCAAUUAAGAACAUUGGUUGUGGAGAUCUGCUAGCCAAUGAUUUAGAGGAAUUGCUGCCAUUAUUCUUGGUAGCAUUUAGGCAGUGCAUUCAGGACCUAUUCAUCGUAGCCAAGAUAUUUUAAAUGUGAGACAGUUACAUGGUAUUGCUGCUCCACAGCUCCAGGAUGGUAACUUGACUUCUUAGAGCCCUAAUUGGAUUCUAGCUUUUGCUUCCAUGAGAAUCAGAAUAGGCAGCCCAUAAUUUAGUACUAGGCUGGAAGAUUUUCAUCAAAGUAAAACCUGUAAUUAGUUAAGGGUGAUCAAGAGUCCUCUGGGAAAUAUUGUAAUUUAUCUUACAGAAUGUUUAGUUUGUCCAGAAUAAUUAGAUCGUCUUUUGAUAUAAAUUAUAACAUUAUUUACUGUGUUGAUGCAGUAGCAUGGGUGUAAUUUUU
Elaeis guineensis (African oil palm) is the source of this 4016-nucleotide non-coding RNA. Lineage: Eukaryota; Viridiplantae; Streptophyta; Magnoliopsida; Arecales; Arecaceae. The record is from RefSeq and is a predicted model, not a curated record.